UGCAGUCACCUCCACUAUAGUAAGCA
Molecule: non-coding RNA, 26 nt
Filed under: Homo sapiens (human)
Lineage: Eukaryota; Metazoa; Chordata; Mammalia; Primates; Hominidae
Source: RNAcentral